AUUGAACGCUGGCGGAAUGCUUUACACAUGCAAGUCGAACGGUAGAGGGGGCAACCCCUCGAGAGUGGCGAACGGGUGAGUAAUAUAUCGGAACGUGCCCAGUCGUGGGGGAUAACGUAGCGAAAGUUACGCUAAUACCGCAUACGAUCUAAGGAUGAAAGCGGGGGAUCGCAAGACCUCGCGCGAUUGGAGCGGCCGAUAUCAGAUUAGGUAGUUGGUGGGGUAAAGGCUCACCAAGCCAACGAUCUGUAGCUGGUCUGAGAGGACGACCAGCCACACUGGAACUGAGACACGGUCCAGUCUCCUACGGGAGGCAGCAGUGGGGAAUUUUGGACAAUGGACGCAAGUCUGAUCCAGCCAUUCCGCGUGCAGGAUGAAGGCCCUCGGGUUGUAAACUGCUUUUGUACGGAACGAAAAGGUCUCUCUUAAUACGGGGGACUCAUGACGGUACCGUAAGAAUAAGCACCUGCUAACUACGUGCCAGCAGCCGCGGUAA
Molecule: ribosomal RNA, 496 nt
Filed under: uncultured bacterium
Lineage: Bacteria
Description: partial 16S ribosomal RNA
Rfam family: Bacterial small subunit ribosomal RNA
Source: RNAcentral